RNAcentral lists this ribosomal RNA (253 nucleotides) under uncultured bacterium. RNAcentral describes it as "partial 16S ribosomal RNA". It matches the Rfam family "Bacterial small subunit ribosomal RNA", at positions 524 to 776 of the family's 1533-position model. The record is from RNAcentral.
UACGUAGGUGGCAAGCGUUGUCCGGAAUUACUGGGCGUAAAGAAUGCGUAGGUGGAUAGAUAAGUCAGAUGUGAAAUACCCGGGCUCAACUUGGGUGCUGCAUUUGAAACUGUCUAUCUGGAGUGCAGGAGAGGUAAGUGGAAUUCCUAGUGUAGCGGUGAAAUGCGUAGAGAUUAGGAAGAACACCAGUGGCGAAGGCGACUUACUGGACUGUAACUGACACUGAGGCAUGAAAGCGUGGGGAGCAAACAGG